Long non-coding RNA from Mytilus trossulus (common blue mussel), 564 nucleotides. RefSeq lists it as uncharacterized. The transcript has 3 exons. The record is from RefSeq and is a predicted model, not a curated record. Lineage: Eukaryota; Metazoa; Mollusca; Bivalvia; Mytilida; Mytilidae.
UUUUUUUACAGAAUUCUAUUCAAAAGAUUUGAAAAAAAUACUUGGAAGUAAUAUUAAUUUAGCAGUGGAAUGAUCUGAGUGGAAUUGAGAAUCAUGGCAUGUUCACAAUCUGCUGAAUCUCAAAAAGUAAAAGUCGAAAUAAAUUUGAACAUAGCUCAAGCAAAAAUCAGUAUUGAAGUGGACAUAGCACGUCGCCUAGCAUCAGCUGGACAAUACCGGGGACAAGAAAUUCAACCAUCCUGUGAUUUAGUACUACAAACCAUAACUGAACCACGUGGUUACCAAAGAAUGUCCAGAUUUAUAUGGAAAGGAUCGGAUCCGUGUGAUCCUAGAAACAUGGACGUCAAGCUAAGGAAUACUGACGAUGAGGAGUUCGGUAUACCAGCAUCUGAUUGAUGGAAGUUGUCAGUCUCAAUCAAUGAAGAGCUUAUGAAGGAUACUGGACUUUGGUUUAAUUCUGUAUCAUGCAAGAUUUUAGAGACCAAGCUAUUACGCAUUCAAUCCACAUUAAUUUCAGCAUACCUCAUAUCUUUUUUCAAAAAACAUUCUUAAUAUGUCUAAUGU